Long non-coding RNA from Coregonus clupeaformis (lake whitefish), 118 nucleotides. RefSeq lists it as uncharacterized. The record is from RefSeq and is a predicted model, not a curated record. Lineage: Eukaryota; Metazoa; Chordata; Actinopteri; Salmoniformes; Salmonidae. The transcript has 3 exons.
CUCUGAGUGGUGGUGUGUCACUUGCUGAAGUCCCAUUCAAGCUUGGAAUGAAUACAUCUCCAAAGCAGUGGACCUCUGGGCUCUGAGUGGUGGUGUGUCACUUGCUGAAGUCCCAUUC